This 85-nucleotide transfer RNA is filed under the name Felis catus (domestic cat). It matches the Rfam family "tRNA". From Rfam's summary of the family: Transfer RNA (tRNA) molecules are approximately 80 nucleotides in length. Lineage: Eukaryota; Metazoa; Chordata; Mammalia; Carnivora; Felidae. RNAcentral also lists the same sequence under 1 other name. The record is from Rfam by way of RNAcentral.
GCCCCGGUGGCUCAGUCAGUUGAGCAUCUGACUUCGGCUCAGCUCAUGAUCUCAUGGUUCGUGGGUUCGAGCCCUACAUUGGGCU